RNAcentral lists this ribosomal RNA (485 nucleotides) under uncultured bacterium. Its description in RNAcentral is "SSU rRNA". It matches the Rfam family "Bacterial small subunit ribosomal RNA", at positions 26 to 518 of the family's 1533-position model. The record is from RNAcentral.
AGGACGAACGCUGGCGGCGUGCCUAACACAUGCAAGUCGAACGGGACCAGGGGCAACUCUGGUUCAGUGGCGGACGGGUGCGUAACACGUGAGGAACAUGACUUUCGGCGGGGGAUAGCCGGCCCAACGGCCGGGUAAUACCGCGUACGACCUCUCGGGGACAUCCCCGGUUGGUGAAAGCAGCAAUGCACCGAAAGAGUGCCUCGCGGCCUAUCAGCUAGUUGGUGAGGUAACGGCUCACCAAGGCGACGACGGGUAGCUGGUCUGAGAGGAUGGCCAGCCACAUUGGGACUGAGACACGGCCCAGACUCCUACGGGAGGCAGCAGUGGGGAAUAUUGCGCAAUGGGCGAAAGCCUGACGCAGCGACGCCGCGUGUGGGAUGACGGCCUUCGGGUUGUAAACCACUGUCGGAGGGACGAAUGCGCCGCAAGGCGAGUGACGGUACCUCCAAAGGAGCACCGGCUAACUCCGUGCCAGCAGCCGC